Molecule: long non-coding RNA, 7977 nt
Filed under: Chlamydomonas reinhardtii
Lineage: Eukaryota; Viridiplantae; Chlorophyta; Chlorophyceae; Chlamydomonadales; Chlamydomonadaceae
Description: long non-coding RNA (CREI_LNC001196)
Source: RNAcentral
ACCACCUCCAUCCGCACCGAAACGAUGGGCAGGCGACCCUUCUGCAGCAGUCGCUGAAGCGCCUCUGCCACCUGCUCCUGCGUACUGCUGGUGGUCGACCCCGUCGCCCGCUUGGCAGAUACCGCCGCCUCCAUCGCGGCUAGCAGGUCGGGGCUGCGGGCAAGAGCCUCCGCCACCUCGCCGCCCAGCUCAUGUUGCGCCUGCCAGAGCUGACGCAACUCCUCGGUCUGAAACUCCUCACGGCGCCGCACGGCCUCACGGACAAGCGCCGGGGCCAGCGCAGAGGCAGCCGGGCUAGCAGGGACACCGCCGCCUGCCAGCACCGCCAGCGCCCACAGGCUGUUGCAAAGGGCCUGUGCAACGAGCGACUCCGGCUCUCGCUGCAGCAGCUCGCCCAGCCGGCCGCACACCGCCGCCUCCAAGCCGGCGUUACGCAGCUGCAGCACCGCCAGCGCCCACAGCGUGUUUGCACACUCCUGUGCUUUGCCUCGCUGCAUCGCCGCUGCCGCGCCUGCGUCAAGCAGCGCGGGCGGCGGCUGGUGGCGCACCAAUGCCAGCGCGUACAGCAGGUUGGCCCAAUGCUGCGGCUUGGCGCUGGCCAUGACCCCGGGCCGCUGAGCUGCUGCCACCGCGGCCGCGUACCAGGGGCACUGCUCCAUGGCUUUCGGCGUUGCACCGGCCCCAUACCCCAUCUUGGCCAGGGCCCACGCCGAGUUGCUGAGCUCCUGUGGGUUACAGCCGGCAAAGCCCCGCCGCAUGGCCUCCACUGCUACUGCAGCCGCCAGCCGCUCGGACUGCUUGCCUCCCAGCUGCAGCCCCUCCAGCGCCAGCAGGAUGUUGGACAGGUGCUGCGGCUUGAAUGCUUCAGCUUCCUUCGGUGUUCGCAGCUGCCGCAGCGCCGCACCGUACAGCGUCUCCAGCCCUGCCCGAAAUGCCGGUCCGGUGCAGCCAAGGACCUCUAGCGCCCACAGGCUGUUGGCCAGGCCUUGCGCAUUCAUGUCCGGGGCAAGGGCUGCGGCCGCCUCCGCCAACGGCCGCAGAAGGUCUGAGUCGCGGUACCCCAGCUUGGCACACGCCCACAGGCUGUUAGAAACGUCCUGGGCAUUGAAGCCGUGCCCCCUCGCCGCACGCAGCCGCGAGGCCACAGCGCUCGCCAGCGCUUUCAGAUGCGGCGAUGAGGUGGGAUCCCAGCCCGAGCCCCGCCGCUGCUGAUCCUCCCGCAGCUUGCCCAGGGCAUACAGUGCGUUCGCCAGGUCUAUAGGAAUGGCACUGUCCAGCAACACUGGAUCCACCAGCCGCUGCAGCAGUGCCGGCGCCAGCUGUGACUCCACACGCCCGUCGCUGGCAGCCCCGGCCUUCGCCAGAGCCCACAGCGGAAGGCUGCAGCUGGCCGGCUGGCGGAUGCGCGGCACGAGCGGAAGGAGAGCAGGCGCAAGGGCCGCAAUGAUGCCGGCGCGGGCCGCGGCUGUGGCGGUGGGCCCGCCGGCGCGUGCGGGCUCCAGCUGCAGGGGGGGCGGGGGGGGGGGGGGGGGCAGUGGGAAAGGACGAUGCCCCGAUCACUCACUGUGGCGGUGAAAAGCAAGCUUGGAUCAGCCCCACCGUCAUCAUGCAACGCGUCCCUAAGCACUACCGCGCGAGCUUUGGUAAGUGCUAAGGAGGUGCGUGUGUUGUUGGCGUUGUCAGUGCCCGCACUGCAAUGCAGGAAGGCCCGCACGUGCUUGCAGGCAAGCCCGACCCCUGCCCCUGCCCCUCCUCCUGUCAUUGCCCGCUAGCUAGUCCAGCCUCUUACCUUGCCACAACGGCCGAAGGCAGCUGACAUGGCGAUCACGUCUUGCCGCUCGCACCACACCGCCAGCCGCUGAUCAAUGACUCCUUGCAGCUGCUCCAGAGUCCGACACACGGUCAUGUCAUCCGCGGGGUCACGCGCCCUUCUUCCGCCGCCACUCCUGUCACCGGCACCGCCCGUCCUGCCGCCAGCCCAACGGCCUCCGCCUGCCCUACCUCCGCCUGCCCUCCCCCCAGCGUCACUGCUACUGCGGCUGCUGCCGAUGCCGCCAUGUCCGCUGCUGCUGCUCCUGUCUAUGCUCCUGUGACUGGUGCCGCCACUGCCGUACCUCCCCCCAGCCGCCAGCACCUGCUGCUGCGCGCGCCGCCCCGGCUGUAGGAGACAGCUGCGCGCCCCGGCUGCUGCAGGUGCGGCAGGGGCGGGCGCUGGUGCAGCUUGACGGGCCCAGGCGGCUAGCGGCAGUAGCUGCCGCAGACCGCCGCCAGCCCCGGUGGCAGCAGGUGCGGUGGCGGGAAGGAGGGGGCCGCCUUCGCUGAGCACUGCCGCCGCCGGGCCGCUGGUUGCGGAGCUGCACGCCAGGCCGCGGGCCACACCGCCGGCGGUCGCCGAGGGGNNNNNNNNNNNNNNNNNNNNNNNNNNNNNNNNNNNNNNNNNNNNNNNNNNNNNNNNNNNNNNNNNNNNNNNNNNNNNNNNNNNNNNNNNNNNNNNNNNNNAGCCCCGCCGCAUGGCCUCCACUGCUACUGCAGCCGCCAGCCGCUCGGACUGCUUGCCUCCCGAGCGGCAGCCCCUCCAGCGCCAGCAGGAUGUUGGACAGGUGCUGCGGCUUGAAUGCUUCAGCUUCCUUCGGUGUUCGCAGCUGCCGCAGCGCCGCACCACACAGCGUCUCCAGCACUGCCCGAAACGCCGGUCCGGUGCAGCCAAGGACCUCUAGCGCCCACAGGCUGUUGGCCAGGCCUUGCGCAUUCAUGUCCGGGGCAAGGGCUGCGGCCGCCUCCGCCAACGGCCGCAGAAGGUCUGAGUCGCGGUACCCCAGCUUGGCGCACGCCCACAGGCUGUUAGAAACAUGUUGCGGCUCAAAGCCAUGCCCGCUCGCCGCGCGCAGCCACGAGGCCACAGCGCUCGCCAGUGCGUUCAGGUGCGGCGAUGAGGUGGGGUCCCAGCCCGAGCCCCGCUGCUGCUGGUCCUCCCGCAGCUUGCCCAGGGCAUACAGUGCGUUCGCCAGGGCCUGGGGAGUGGCACUGUCCAGCAACACUGGAUCCACCAGCCGCUGCAGCAGUGCCGGCGCCAGCUCUGACUCCACACGCCCGUCGAUGGCAGCCCCGGCCUUCGCCAGUGCCCACAGCGGAAGGCUGCAGCCGGCCGGCUGGCGGAUGCGCGGCACGAGCGGAAGGAGAGCAGGCGCAAGGGCCGCAAUGAUGCCAGCACGGGCCGCGGCUGUGGCGGCGGGCCCGCUGGCGUGUGCGGACUCCAGCUGCAGGGGAGGGAGGGGGCCGGUGGGAAAGGACGAUACCUCGAUCACUCACUGUGGCGGUGAAAAGGAAGCUUGGAUCAGCCCCAUCGUCAUCAUGCAACGCGUCCCUAAGCACUACCGCGCGAGCUUGGUAAGUGCUAAGGAGGUGCGUGUGUUGUUGGCGUUGUCAGUGCCCGCACUGCAAUGCAGGAAGGCCCGCACGUGCUUGCAGGCAAGCCCGACCCCUGCCCCUGCCCCUCCUCCUGUCAUUGCCCGCUAGCUAGUCCAGCCUCUUACCUUGCCACAACGGCCGAAGGCAGCUGACAUGGCGAUCACGUCUUGCCGCUCGCACCACACCGCCAGCCGCUGAUCAAUGACUCCUUGCAGCUGCUCCAGAGUCCGACACACGGUCAUGUCAUCCGCGGGGUCACGCGCCCUUCUUCCGCCGCCACUCCUGUCACCGGCACCGCCCGUCCUGCCGCCAGCCCAACGGCCUCCGCCUGCCCUACCUCCGCCUGCCCUCCCCCCAGCGUCACUGCUACUGCGGCUGCUGCCGAUGCCGCCAUGUCCGCUGCUGCUGCUCCUGUCUAUGCUCCUGUGACUGGUGCCGCCACUGCCGUACCUCCCCCCAGCCGCCAGCACCUGCUGCUGCGCGCGCCGCCCCGGCUGUAGGAGACAGCUGCGCGCCCCGGCUGCUGCAGGUGCGGCAGGGGCGGGCGCUGGUGCAGCUUGACGGGCCCAGGCGGCUAGCGGCAGUAGCUGCCGCAGACCGCCGCCAGCCCCGGUGGCAGCAGGUGCGGUGGCGGGAAGGAGGGGGCCGCCUUCGCUGAGCACUGCCGCCGCCGGGCCGCUGGUUGCGGAGCUGCACGCCAGGCCGCGGGCCACACCGCCGGCGGUCGCCGAGGGGCCGAGGCGCCCGGCGGUCCGAGCGGCGCGAGGCUGGGUCAGCGGUAUGCCGCAUGGGCCCACCCUAUGCCAUGUGCGUGCUGACGCUGGAGCAUUAUAGCUACUGCCUAAGCCAUGUCUACUCGCUGCGGUGCCGCGUCCGGACUGUAACAUUUUAGGCUCAGCAGGCUGAGGCCCACAGUGCCUUAUAGUAUGUAAGUGCUAACUGAUACUAUACAUGGAAGUAUAGACACAAUGAUCGGACUAAAGGAACAACGGGCCAGUCUGGUGCGCGGGCAAAUGAAGCUCUGUUAAACAAACUCUGACAAACAAGGGCACAAGGGCUUUUUGUAUAACGAUGUAUAAGCUGAGGAUUCAGCUGUGAGACUGAAUCCGCGGCUUGGCUCGCCAGCAUGUGCCCUCGCUCCGUACCAAGGCGACGCCUGGGGUGGCGGCAUGGCGCGGCUGACGUGCCCUUGCUGACCCUUUCGGUGAAGCAGGCAACCCAGCUUCAACUUGCGCCUGCGUACGACGCGCUCCGCGUGCGUCACUUGGCCUUCAUCCAAGAGGCCUACAGCGGCGCCGCGCCGCCAGCGGAAGCGAUUCAUGCGCUGCGGGCGGCCCUGGCGCGGCUGUGGGCUUUGGUGUGGGAGCCGCGACACAAGGAACCGCUCUGGCGUCUGGCAGUCAAUGGGUUCACGGGCUUUGGGAUGCUUGCGGCGUGGGCCGCAGAUGGACGCGUGGCGAAAUGCCCGUGUGGGACUCAGAUGACUGCUGGGGCUAGGGUUCAUCACUUCUGGGACUGUGUGGUGGCGGAAGCUCUGCGUGCUUUGAUGCGGGAGCGUGCGAAUGUGGACAUCACACGGAACCAGUUGUGGUUAGUACAGGCGCCACCAGGGCUAUCGCAGGCGGUGUGGGACAUCGUGUGCUUGGCUGCUGUGGCGGCCCUGGAAUACGGCCGACAGCAUUCUCGCGCCUGACAAUGAAGCGCAGUUACACGCCUCGUUCAUACGCUGCACUCGCUCUCGCGCCCUGGGACUAAGAUCACGUAUAGAAAAAGCUAUGAUCAUUCCGUGAUGCCAAUGCGUUGGGCCGAAAUCGCGCUGUCCGCGACGACGCAUAGGAUGCGUCACACUUUCCAGAGGACCCGUAGAUAGCUGUGCGGACUUCUGGUCACGGCUGGCUGCAGACCGGACUGCGGAGGCGGCUGUUGUGCGAAGGAUAGGUGUGGAGGUGAUUGCGGACUUCUGGUCACGGCUAGCUGCGUUUGUGAGUCUGCGUCGGCCUCCGCGCCGCUGGGACCUUGUCCCGAACCAGCACCCAUUCCUAGCGUCAGAUGAUGUUGGAGGGGUUAUCUUGGUAGGGCCAACAGCGGACUCGCCACCGGCCUCACCCUAGCUUGUCAGCUUAGGGACUCGCAAGAGGUAGUCUUAUGACGCCGACCCACGGCUUAGGUGAGCAGCGCUAGCGUUUGUGGUGAGCCGGGCCUGGGGUUCCUCCCCUCUCCGGAGGCGAGGAGCAUGGGGGUCAUUCGGGGAUCUCUCCUCGGGUGAGCGUGCGUGUCUCGUACGUUUUUGGGGCCCUGGCUUAGUCCACGGCUGUCGUCCCACAUGUAACCUCUAUCAGCUACGCACACGGCCCCGCUGGUGCCCCAGGCUAUCAGCGCCGCCCCUUCCGCCCCAGGCCUGCACCCGAUUCCCAUUACAGAUUCACUCCAUUAGAAGCAGCAGAUAGGAUUGCAUUGGAACGGCCCGAUGGCCAGGGCCGAGGUCGCUUUAUGCUCAUGAACUUGAUGUUAGCCUCGUGCUGGCUGUGCUGCCUCCACACAUCAGGAAGAAUACCGAUGGGCGUGAACCCCACCACAGACAUGCUGCACGUCGUAUUGCCAGCCAACCGGGCCCAGCCAUGGCCUGCUACACGCGCUGCAACCCCCGAAUUCCACCUCUGCCUCCGCCCCUUCCUUAACCUGUCCCCCACCGUCACGCCUGCUCGCCACGUCAGCCGCCACCAACACAGUGACACACACACGCCCCGGGCCACGGCCACUGCCACCGCUGACCCGUGGCCCUGCGCACCUACACACCAAACACAACACAUACAGCAUGCCACAAACUUGGCGCAUUUGACGCACCGUGUGUGCACGUGUCAAUACCUAGCUGGUAUGUGUGCGCUAACUCCACUCAUGCCACGCCCAUCACUGCACCCCGUGUAUGGCCGCCCCUGGGCCCCACGGCCGCUCACCUGCCUGACGGUCACCACAGAUGCCUACCGAACUGGGCACCGCACCAAACACACGCCACACAAAAGCCCAAAGCCCGUCGUGGCGCGCCCUAGCAUGUUGCUCUCAGUGCUCCAUAUACACACACGUAUGCUUGGCCCGGGCACAAGGAGUAACGGAACGCAAAUCACAAGACGUGUGCAUGUUUGUGUUGCAACCACUAACCCAGGUCACUGCUCCGCCCCCUUUCGUUCACUCGCUGCUGCACGGCUUCUGUGCCGCGCGCCUGCCGGUCCCCACCGCCUGCCCCCGCCUGCUGCCCGCGAGCAGGCCCCCGCCGCUGCCACUACCAUCACCACCACCACAUUCUACAGCUGCUGCCGACGAGUCCGCCUCCCCGGCCACCACCAACAAUCGCUUCGCAGAGACCGCGGCUGGCACCAACACCGCCCCGGGGUCACUGCCGCCGCCGCCGCCGCCGCCGCCUGCUGCCGGAGCCGCCGCCGCUUUCCGCUCAGUCCGCUUCCCACCCGCGGCCCGCCUGGGUGGCGCUGCCGCCUGCACCUGCUCCGGCGGCGGGGCCUCAACCGGUGGAGCAGGAGAAGGCGAGCCCGCCUGGCUGCUACGGCUUUGAAUUUGGCUGCUGCUGCGGCGCGCCCGGGGCGCUGACACGCGCUGCUGCUGUGGUGGUGGAGGCUGCGGCGCCAGAGGAGUUCCGUUUCCUCCGCCCUCGCCAGCACCGCCACCAGCGCCACUGCUGGGAAGCCGCUGCGCCUUUUCCGCUGAUUGCUGCCGGGCAGGGGCCACCACCUCAGCCUCCGCCGGUACCGUCCUUGCAGCUGCUGUUGCGCCCGAGGCCUCUCCCGCCCCACCGCCGCCGGCCGCCUCCUGCUUUGGAGCCUUUCUGCGGACAACGAGGAUGCGUCGUUUCUGGCUGCUGCUAGCUGUAGUGGUGGUGGUGGCGGUGGUGCUGCUAUUGGCAGUGUCCGGCUGCGGCUGAGCCGUCCGCUGCUGCUGGUGGCGAGGGGCGGCGGCGCUGCCUUUCCCUGCCGCUGUUCAUGACGAAGCGCCCGAUAGCAGAUCCUGCAGCUGCUGCAGCAGGUAGGCCUCCUGAGUGGAAGGCGUCCGCAGACCGUACCACUCCCAGUACGGCACACACAGCAGGCCGCCCUCCCCAAACGCCCGCCGCAGCUGCCGGUUGCGCAGGGCCGUGGACCCGAUUACCGCGGACGGGUCGUCCUUCCGGUGGGUGAGAAAGUGGUCUGGACCGUCCACCUCAAUGGCCACUCUCCGCCCGUCGCUCCAGUCCGCCACAAUAUCCACACGCCCCAGCACGCCCUCCACUACCACCUCCAUCCGCACCGAAACGAUGGGCAGGCGACCCUUCUGCAGCAGUCGCUGAAGCGCCUCUGCCACCUGCUCCUGCGUACUGCUGGUGGUCGACCCCGUCGCCCGCUUGGCAGAUACCGCCGCCUCCAUCGCGGCUAGCAGGUCGGGGCUGCGGGCAAGAGCCUCCGCCACCUCGCCGCCCAACUCAUGUUGCGCCUGCCAGAGCUGACGCAACUCCUCGGUCUGAAACUCCUCACGGCGCCGCACGGCCUCACGGACAAGCGCCGGGGCCAGCGCAGAGGCAGCCGG